RNAcentral lists this unclassified non-coding RNA (251 nucleotides) under Glomus sp. RNAcentral describes it as "partial internal transcribed spacer 2". The stretch from base 1 to 71 matches the Rfam family "5.8S ribosomal RNA", at positions 84 to 154 of the family's 154-position model. Lineage: Eukaryota; Fungi; Glomeromycota; Glomeromycetes; Glomerales; Glomeraceae. The record is from RNAcentral.
GUGAAUCAUCAAAUUUUUGAACGCAAAUUGCACUUUCUGCUGUUAGGGAGAGUGUUCCUGGUUGAGGGUCUGAUAAAUCAAAAUCGUUGUUGUUGCUGGUUUUCGUGGUGAGGCGUCGGAAUUAUGUUGUCUUACCUUCGGUUAAGUGACUUAAAAUUUUGCAUGUUUUUCGAUCGUAUUUACAUUUCUUACUUUCGUUUGACAUAUCAGGUAUUUUAUUUGUUUCGGUCAUACUCAUAUUUCGGACCGCU